This 253-nucleotide ribosomal RNA is filed under the name uncultured bacterium. RNAcentral's name for it is "partial 16S ribosomal RNA". It matches the Rfam family "Bacterial small subunit ribosomal RNA", at positions 524 to 776 of the family's 1533-position model. The record is from RNAcentral.
UACGGGGGGGGCAAGCGUUGUUCGGAAUUACUGGGCGUAAAGGGCUCGUAGGCGGCCAACUAAGUCGGAUGUGAAAUCCCCAGGCUUAACCUGGGAACUGCAUCCGAUACUGGUUGGCUUGAAUCCGGGAGAGGGAUGCAGAAUUCCAGGUGUAGCGGUGAAAUGCGUAGAUAUCGGCAGGAACACCCAGGGGGAAACCAGCCGACUGGGCAAGUGCUGACGCUGAGGUGCGAGAGCGUGGGGAGCGAACCGG